GAGUUGUGAUGAUCUGAGUGGUUGGCUCUCUUCCUGGAUUCUUGUCCUUCAGGUGACAGAGCUCACCGAACGCUCUCUCCCGCUUCCUCAGAGAUCCAGGACCUGCCUCUGGUUACACGUGGAUGGAGGGUCUCCCACAGGCCACAGGUCCCACCAAGAUAAAAGACUGGCUCUGGAGGACAUGCUACGCAGGACAGAUGGCAAUGAUGACAAUGGCCAGAGCCAAAGGGAAGCCUGCCAUCGGAUUGCAUAAGGAUGGUGCUGGGUGCCCUGGACGCUGGUGCGCUGGCCCUGCUCUGCUGCUCAGGGGGUACCUUACUCACUAUCUGGUCAGACAAUGACCUUGCAGAAUGCUUCUACCACUUUGGCCUUUCAUUCAGAGACCUCGCUGAUCUCUAAUCCUUCCCCCAUGGCCUGUGCAGCUGGGACCCACUCGUCUUUCAGGACGAAGCUCACCUUCCAGGCAGGUCCACCCGAAUGAAUGCCUGCUCUAAGCUGACCUCCAUCCCACCCUAUCCCAUUCCUCUGCUAGUAAUUGUAUUGGUCACUUUUUAAAUUAACUUUGUGUAUUUAACUUUUUUUAUUAGUUUAAUGAUCAUCUCUCCCCAUGAAGGGAAAGACCCUUUUUGACUUCUUCACUUCCGUAUCCCCCUGCCUUAAACCAUGCUCAGCAUCUAUCUGUUGAAUAAAGGAAGGGCCCUUUCUCUCCCUCAAACACGGGAGUAUACUGUAUGUCAUAUACUGGGUACACGUUUUCUCUCUUCUAUGCUAUUAGCUUCUUGAAGGUGGAGAAUGAUUCAUUCUUAUCCUUCACAAUGCCUGGGAGAGAUCUCAGCUUCAAUAAGUCUUCAUUGAAUGCAGAUAUAAAAAUAAAUGGUGCAGAGGCAGAGAGCAUUUCUUUUCUCUUUCAGAACAACUGGACACAGCAUUAAGCCUGAGAGAGAUCAAAACUAAUUGCCGGAACGAGAAUCACAGGCAUUCACUGCGUCUGUACCAAGGACGGACUUGGAAAAGGGUGUAAUCAACUAGCAGCACACGGCAUCCGGUGUGACCUCUGUGUUCUUCACAGUGCCAUUCUCUCCGGGGAACUGGCUGCCUCUGUGGCCUGUGGGAUGAAAAGCUUCCCAAAAUAGAGGCCAGGAAUGAGGUCUGAUUCUGAUGGGAGGGUCCAGAGCUGGAGGGCACCUUCCUAUGAGCACAGGGCAUCUGUGUUAUUCUCUCAGCAAAGCAUUUUGAUUUUCCUCAUCAAUAAAAAGUACUUUGAUUUUCCUUAUCAAUAAAUAUGGAGGUGCCCAUAAAACAUUUUGGGUAUCUGGGGGAUGUGAAAAGGUCAAGUGAGGUAUCAAUCCAGAGAGUGCGAGGUUUGGGGCAGAAAUGGGACCAUUAAGUCAAAAUGGUGUGCAUUAAAAAUGGUAGAGUGAUCUGUUCUGGUUGUCCUGCGUAAGAACACUAGGCCUGUGACCAGCUCAGCCGGGUUGAGAUGAGGCUGCAUAAGCUCUAGGAUAAGAGACUGGAGCUGCCGAA
This is a long non-coding RNA of Myotis davidii, 1524 nucleotides long. RefSeq lists it as uncharacterized. The transcript is spliced from 3 exons. The record is from RefSeq and is a predicted model, not a curated record. NCBI's taxonomy places the organism in Eukaryota, Metazoa, Chordata, Mammalia, Chiroptera, Vespertilionidae.